This 405-nucleotide long non-coding RNA is filed under the name Rattus norvegicus (Norway rat). RNAcentral describes it as "long non-coding RNA NONRATT016811". Lineage: Eukaryota; Metazoa; Chordata; Mammalia; Rodentia; Muridae. The record is from RNAcentral.
AAGUGACACUUCCUCCCAGUGAUGACGUAGAUGGAGAGGAAGAACAGGAGUUAUUUGGGCUUCAGUUCAUGCACGCAUACAUACAAGAGUCACGGAGAACAGAAGACCAAGUCAACUGUCUGACUCAUACGCCCAGCUCUACACGGUCUGAUGGAUAAAGUAAUUUAAAGAGUCCCGCUGAAAAGGAAUACUUCGACAACUGGAUGAGCCGGUACAGCAGUUAAUAAUACAUUUUCCAGAGACACCAAUGGGUCCGUAUAGUACUGUAAGGCAGGACUGAAGCCUUUCUGCUGUAAAUACUGGAGUCGGCCUUGGUCAAUCAGCAAUUUGCAAAGAUGUCCUAUUUUCUUCUUUUCUUCAACAGUAAGAGUCCUACAUUGAAUAAACACACAAAACUUAAAAGUU